GACGAACGCUGGCGGCGUGCCUAAUACAUGCAAGUUGAGCGCUGAAGGUUGGUACUUGUACCAACUGGAUGAGCAGCGAACGGGUGAGUAACGCGUGGGGAAUCUGCCUUUGAGCGGGGGACAACAUUUGGAAACGAAUGCUAAUACCGCAUAAAAACUUUAAACACAAGUUUUAAGUUUGAAAGAUGCCAUUGCAUCACUCAAAGAUGAUCCCGCGUUGUAUUAGCUAGUUGGUGAGGUAAAGGCUCACCAAGGCGAUGAUACAUAGCCGACCUGAGAGGGUGAUCGGCCACAUUGGGACUGAGACACGCCCCAAACUCCUACGGGAGGCAGCAGUAGGGAAUCGUCAGCAAUGGACGAAAGUCUGACCGCGCAACGCCGCGUGAGUGAAGAGGGUUUUCGGAUCGUAGAACUCUGUUGGUAGAGAAGAACGUUGGUGAGAGUGGAAAGCUCAUCAAGUGACGGUAACUACCCAGAAAGGAACGGCUAACUACGUG
This 497-nucleotide ribosomal RNA is filed under the name uncultured bacterium. RNAcentral describes it as "partial 16S ribosomal RNA". It matches the Rfam family "Bacterial small subunit ribosomal RNA", at positions 28 to 507 of the family's 1533-position model. The record is from RNAcentral.